Molecule: ribosomal RNA, 795 nt
Filed under: uncultured bacterium
Lineage: Bacteria
Description: bacterial SSU rRNA
Rfam family: Bacterial small subunit ribosomal RNA
Source: RNAcentral
AGAGUUUGAUCAUGGCUCAGGAUGAANNCUAGCGGCAGGCUUAAUACAUGCAAGUCGUGGGGCAGCACAGUGUAGCAAUACAUGGGUGGCGACCGGCAAACGGGUGCGGAACACGUACGCAACCUUCCUUUAACUGGAGAAUAGCCCGGGGAAACCCGGAUUAAUACUCCGUAACAUUAUGAAGUGGCAUCACUUUAUAAUUAUAGCUCCGGCGGUUGAAGAUGGGCGUGCGUCUGAUUAGGUAGUUGGCGGGGUAACGGCCCACCAAGCCUACGAUCAGUAACUGGUGUGAGAGCACGACCAGUCACACGGGCACUGAGACACGGGCCCGACUCCUACGGGAGGCAGCAGUAAGGAAUAUUGGUCAAUGGACGCAAGUCUGAACCAGCCAUGCCGCGUGGAGGAUGAAGGUCCUCUGGAUUGUAAACUUCUUUUAUUUGGGAAGAAACCACCGAUUUCUAUUGGUGUUGACGGUACCAGAUGAAUAAGCACCGGCUAACUCCGUGCCAGCAGCCGCGGUAAUACGGAGGGUGCAAGCGUUAUCCGGAUUCACUGGGUUUAAAGGGUGCGUAGGCGGAUUGGUAAGUCCGUGGUGAAAUCUCCAAGCUUAACUUGGAAACUGCCGUGGAUACUCUCAAUCUUGAAUAUAGUGGAGGUGAGCGGAAUAUGUCAUGUAGCGGUGAAAUGCUUAGAUAUGACAUAGAACACCCAUUGCGAAGGCAGCUCGCUACACUAUCAUUGACGCUGAGGCACGAAAGCGCGGGGAUCAAACAGGAUUAGAUACCCUAGUAGUCC